This 27-nucleotide non-coding RNA is filed under the name Mus musculus (house mouse). The record is from RNAcentral. Lineage: Eukaryota; Metazoa; Chordata; Mammalia; Rodentia; Muridae.
GACUUCAACUCUUCAGCCUUCUGGGAC